RNAcentral lists this ribosomal RNA (489 nucleotides) under Planomicrobium okeanokoites. RNAcentral describes it as "bacterial SSU rRNA". It matches the Rfam family "Bacterial small subunit ribosomal RNA", at positions 1 to 481 of the family's 1533-position model. The record is from RNAcentral. Lineage: Bacteria; Bacillati; Bacillota; Bacilli; Caryophanales; Caryophanaceae.
GGUGAGAUUUAUCCUGGCUCAGGACGAACGCUGGGGCGUGCCUAAUACAUGCAAGUCGAGCGGAACCAGAAGAGCUUGCUCUUUUGGUUUAGCGGCGGACGGGUGAGUAACACGUGGGCAACCUGCCCUGCAGAUCGGGAUAACUCCGGGAAACCGGUGCUAAUACCGAAUAGUUUACCGUUCCUCCUGGAACGGUACGGAAAGACGGUUUCGGCUGUCACUGCAGGAUGGGCCCGCGGCGCAUUAGCUAGUUGGUGGGGUAAUGGCCCACCAAGGCGACGAUGCGUAGCCGACCUGAGAGGGUGAUCGGCCACACUGGGACUGAGACACGGCCCAGACUCCUACGGGAGGCAGCAGUAGGGAAUCUUCCGCAAUGGACGCAAGUCUGACGGAGCAACGCCGCGUGAGUGACGAAGGUUUUCGGAUCGUAAAACUCUGUUGUGAGGGAAGAACAAGUACCAAUUAACUACUGGUACCGUGACGGACCUC